GUGCUGCUGCUGGCCCACGGGCCACACUCAGGGGCACUGAACUAAAGCCACUGUGGGCACAAGCAGGUACAGGUGGCGGGCACUCACCCUGGGUGGAGAAUCACAGCUCCUAGUAAGUAAGCCCUCCUGGGGGUCAGACACCGCAUCCUGGCUGCCCAAGGCGUGCUCUGUGAGCCACACCACCAGGCACAGACCUGCGGCCCCAUCCAGCCUCCACGGGGAUCCGUGUGCCUAUCACAGUCCUUCACAAGCCUCGUCCCUUGUCAUCCUCCUGAUACCCGCCCCCCCAGAAGUAGGUCAUGGAUCCCUUUGGUUUUACAGGGGAAACACAGCUGAGCGGCUAAGUGACUUGGUUAAGGUCUCAAGUACAACCAGCGGGAGAUGCUACUGGAAGCAGGUGGCCCAGCCUCGGACCCCGAGCUCCCAACCCCGCAGCCCAACACUCCCUGUGGCUUCUUCGUGGAAUCCCCACAGCUACUCUGCCAGCCAGACUCGGUCCUGUGUGCCUUUUGAAAGGAAGGAGAGAAUAGCUGUGCUCAGCCCAACGAGGCCGGCCUCUUUCAACCUGCCAGUCGCUGCCAUUUCCAAUUACAACUUCAGAGGCCCCUGUAAUUUAUACAUCCCAGGAUGCACCGCUCCAGCUGCUUUAUGACGGGAGUUCGUUACACUAUUAAGGAACCUGCGCUUCCCAUGGCCCGGAGGGUCCCCAAACCUGACACGAGGUGGGAGAGCAAGAAGGAACACCCCAAGAGCUGGGGCCAGACGGAGAAGGGUCUGCAGUCUGCCAGCUGCAAACUUACAGCCCUUCAGCAGAACCCCCCCCCCCCCGCCAUUCUGGACCUCUCCCUCUGCUGUAAAAGAUGGGUGCUUCCCUCCUCGGGGGGUGGGGGUGGGCACUGCCCGAAGCGCAGAGCCGAGCACCGGGUGAGUGGCUGCCAUUCUCGUUCUUGGCGUGAUGUCAAUUACUGCACAGAAAGCAGAGAGCACUGGCCUGGCCAGGAGGGCUUUGCCCGUGUCACUGUUGUCACAUCUGGAAGAUGCGUGUUACAGGUCAGUCCCCAACCUGGGAAACUCCCAGAGGCCCGGUGGGGGCUCUUCUCUGCCUGUCCUCAGCUCCACGUGCAAGCCCAGCACACCGCACGUGUGUGGCAGACGUCCCUGAAAGAACCAUGUGGACCAAGGGGGCACGGCUCUUCACCGCCUGGCCCCCGUCCCGGAGAAGGAGGUGGAGGGACACCAAGUUCUUUUCCAAAGUAUGAAAUUGAUGCAACCUCCUGAGACGAAUUCCUGGACUUCCCAGGAGGAAAGAGACUCUGGCUGCGGCUCCAAGACCCCAGGCUGGACUCUGGCCUUCUCCUUCUGUGUGUCCUUGGCAUCGGGGAGGAAUGGUUGCGACUGGAACCUGAAGCCUCAGCUGGGGCUCUGGGGCAACUCCCCCCCCAGGGUGGGUUCCCCGUGGCCGCCAACCCCCUCCCCUCGGCAGCAGGGGCCUCCUCCUGCAGUCACUGGAGCGGCAGGCUCCCGGGACCGGAGGGGGACGCAACAGGACUCUGGAUUUGUCAAGGUUGCCGGUUUUCUUGGGAGGGGCCAAGUGGUGGCCCCCAGCCUCCGGGUGCACCAAGCGGAGUGGNNNNNNNNNNNNNNNNNNNNNNNNNNNNNNNNNNNNNNNNNNNNNNNNNNNNNNNNNNNNNNNNNNNNNNNNNNNNNNNNNNNNNNNNNNNNNNNNNNNNGGGGGGGGGGGGGGGGGGGGGGGGGGGGCUGGCCUGCAUCACAGGAAAGGACCUAGGGUCUCCUGAAGAGACACAGCCUCAGGAAAGGGAGGGUGUCCCGUCAGCUUAGCUCCCCUCUGGGCUGACCGAGAAGGGCUGAAGCAAUCGUGAUUGAGAAGGGCUGAAGCAAUCAUGAUUGAGAAGGGCUGAAGCAAUCAUGAUUGACCACAGCAGUAACAUUUAUGGAGCACCUACGAUGUUCUUGGCACCAGGUAGAAGUUCCAAGGUGGCAUCUCACUGGAUCCUGACAGUGGCCAUAUUCCAUGAGUGCCCCAUUUUCGAGAUGAAGAAACUAAGGGUCAGUGGUUAAGUGACCUGCCCAAGUAGUAACGAACUCAAAUAAAGCUCCACGUUUAUGCUACCGUCCAUGCUUGCAGGCCUAUCCUGGGCUAAUUUUAUUAUUUGUAUUUUUUAAUUUUUUUAAUGUUUAUUUUUGAUUGAGAGGGAGAGAGAACAUGAGCAGGGGAGGGGCAGAGAGAGGGAGACACAGAAUCCAAAGCAGGCUCUAGGCUCUGAGCUGCCAGCACGCAGCCCCAUUUGGGGCUCGAAUUCACAAGCUGUGAGAUCAUGACCUGAGCCGAAGUCGGACGCUUAAGCGACCAAGCCACCCAGGCGCCCCUCUGUGCUAUGCUGAUGUUAAAGAAAGAGGGAGAGAAUGAGUCAGGAGUGCAUAACCAAAAGGUGGCAUGGUCUUGGAGACUCUCCGUCCUGGGAGGCGACGCGGGCAGGACUGAUGGGGAGGCAGCGCCUGUGGGGUGACAGGCGCCUGCGGCUGAGCUGGAAAGGGCCAGGACAGUGCCCUCAGCUGAUGGGCCUAGGCCUGCCCUGAAACUGCAGCGGGACAGCUGUCCCAGGACAGUGCAGGGGCCAGCCUGAGGUGGGAGUUGGCUGGAGGGUGUGCCAGGGGAGCCUGAUGUAAUCCCGGCCGCAGGAGGCGGAAGCUGGGGAAGUGAAACGUCACCUAACAGCAGCCUGGCCACAGACUUCCAACGGCAGUGCCGGGCUUGCCUCACCCCUGCCCACUGAGAUCUCUGCCCUCUUCUUCUGGCCCUGGGGCGCGGCAGGGGGGAGCCCUGGCAGCUCCCGUCGUGUUCCCCAGGUCCAGCCUGGUGCUGAAACGUGCUCAGAGCUGACGAGAAAGCAGAGGACUCCUAGCCAACGCCCUGGGAGCCCUGCCACAGAGAGGCGGACAAUCCCACUGUUUUCCGGAACAGACUCAAGGCUCACCUCGUCACCGGGCUUUCCGCAUUAUUUUGAGGGGUGAGGGGGGGUCCAAGUGGCCGUCCGGCAAACCAUCCUCCUUCCUCACUGAACCUAGCCUGAACUGACCUGGUCAGGCUGCCCAGAUGACAGAGGUAGUGGGACCCAGAACCCCCAGGACGGCCCCUUGCACUUCCAUACAACCCGAGGGCCCGGUGCGUGAGGGACCACCUCUAAGGACCCGGGACUACUCAGCUAACGGGGACAUGGGGCCAGGGCCUGGCACCCACUCUACGGACCUCCUGCCCAGCUCUUGGCCACACAGGGUCCCUGAGCAAGUUCUUGCCAGCCAGCAAGCCAUGGAGACCACUGGCCCAUGCAGGGAGGCUCAGAAAAUGGGCACAGACCCCCUGGCCUGGGUCUCUGUGCCCAGCCAAAAGCUUUCCUGGCCUUUAUGCCAGGUCUUGGAUCUAGACACAAGCAAUCUCAUACAUCGGAGUACUGCGUCCUUCCUAUCCCUCAGCGCCUCAGAGCACGGCACAGCCAGUAAAGGAGAGAGAGAAAUACCACCGCCGCUUUGAGGCUCAGAGGGGCUGAGUGACUCAUUUGAAGCUUCCCAGCUGAACCAGGGGCAGGAUCCAGGCC
This is a long non-coding RNA of Suricata suricatta (meerkat), 3614 nucleotides long. The record is from Ensembl. Lineage: Eukaryota; Metazoa; Chordata; Mammalia; Carnivora; Herpestidae.